This 129-nucleotide small nucleolar RNA is filed under the name Castor canadensis (American beaver). Its description in RNAcentral is "Small nucleolar RNA SNORA42/SNORA80 family (ENSCCNG00000029987.1)". The record is from RNAcentral. Lineage: Eukaryota; Metazoa; Chordata; Mammalia; Rodentia; Castoridae.
GCAUGGUAAUGGGUUUAUGGCAAAUCCUGUCUGUGGGCCUCUCAUAAUAUAUCCAGGCCAGAGUGAAUGGCAGCCUCCAACCAUUGCCCAGCUUUCUUAUCUGUGGACUGGAAAAAAGGUUGCACAAUU